GGGUCAGUAGGUUGGUCGUGCCACUGGUACGUACUGGUCUCACUGAUUCCUCCUUCCUGAAGAACCGUAAUGCCAUUAAUUUGGUGUUGCGGGGAAACAGGACUGUUACUUUGAAAAAAUUAGAGUGUUUAAAGCAGGCUAACGCUUGAAUACAUUAGCAUGGAAUAAUGAAAUAGGACGAUCGAUCCUAUUUUGUUGGUUUCUAGGAUUGACGUA
RNAcentral lists this ribosomal RNA (216 nucleotides) under Glomeromycotina sp. RNAcentral describes it as "partial small subunit ribosomal RNA". The stretch from base 40 to 216 matches the Rfam family "Eukaryotic small subunit ribosomal RNA", at positions 686 to 864 of the family's 1831-position model. The record is from RNAcentral. Lineage: Eukaryota; Fungi; Glomeromycota.